AGUGAACGCUGGCGGUAGGCCUAACACAUGCAAGUCGAACGGCAGCACAGUAAGAGCUUGCUCUUACGGGUGGCGAGUGGCGGACGGGUGAGGAAUACAUCGGAAUCUACUUUUUCGUGGGGGAUAACGUAGGGAAACUUACGCUAAUACCGCAUACGACCUACGGGUGAAAGCAGGGGAUCUUCGGACCUUGCGCGAUUGAAUGAGCCGCUGUCGGAUUAGCUAGUUGGCGGGGUAAAGGCCCACCAAGGCGACGAUCCGUAGCUGGUCUGAGAGGAUGAUCAGCCACACUGGAACUGAGACACGGUCCAGACUCCUACGGGAGGCAGCAGUGGGGAAUAUUGGACAAUGGGCGCAAGCCUGAUCCAGCCAUACCGCGUGAGUGAAGAAGGCCUUCGGGUUGUAAAGCCCUUUUAUUGGGAAAGAAAAGCAGCAGGUUAAUCCCCCGCUGUUCUGACGGUACCCAAAGAAUAAGCCCCGGCUAACUUCGUG
RNAcentral lists this ribosomal RNA (492 nucleotides) under uncultured bacterium. RNAcentral's name for it is "partial 16S ribosomal RNA". It matches the Rfam family "Bacterial small subunit ribosomal RNA", at positions 29 to 507 of the family's 1533-position model. The record is from RNAcentral.